GACGUAGGGCGCGAGCGUUGUCCGGAUUUAUUGGGCGUAAAGAGCGUGUAGGCGGUUUGGUAGGUCUGCUGUGAAAACUCGAGGCUCAACCUCGAGACGUCGGCGGAAACCAUCUGGCUAGAGUCCGGAAGAGGAGAGUGGAAUUCCUGGUGUAGCGGUGAAAUGCGCAGAUAUCAGGAAGAACACCCGUGGCGAAGGCGGCUCUCUGGGACGGUACUGACGCUGAGACGCGAAAGCGUGGGGAGCGAACAGG
This 253-nucleotide ribosomal RNA is filed under the name uncultured bacterium. RNAcentral describes it as "partial 16S ribosomal RNA". It matches the Rfam family "Bacterial small subunit ribosomal RNA", at positions 524 to 776 of the family's 1533-position model. The record is from RNAcentral.